UCGGACUGAAAAUGAUCUCAGAUGUAUCAGUGGUCUGAGUUCAGAUAACUGAGCCUAAAGUAUUCUGGCGCGUUAAGCUUAUCACCUGCUCACUCAUUUGCAGAGUGAUAAAACCCAUGUGCCGACAAAA
Molecule: small nucleolar RNA, 130 nt
Organism: Thunnus maccoyii (southern bluefin tuna)
Lineage: Eukaryota; Metazoa; Chordata; Actinopteri; Scombriformes; Scombridae
Product: small nucleolar RNA ACA64
Exons: 1
Source: RefSeq, a predicted model, not a curated record